AACAGAGUAGAAGGUGCUGCGUUAAGUGUCGCAAGGAUGGGAUGUUGCCUGCGAACGAAAGCGUAAGCUGCGGUAGCCCUUCGCAUUCGCUGAU
RNAcentral lists this non-coding RNA (94 nucleotides) under Pilibacter termitis. Its description in RNAcentral is "THF-I sequence". It matches the Rfam family "THF (Tetrahydrofolate) riboswitch aptamer". Rfam says of the family: THF riboswitch presents a pseudoknot that joins P1-P2 and the loop of P3 and two THF binding. The record is from Rfam by way of RNAcentral. Lineage: Bacteria; Bacillati; Bacillota; Bacilli; Lactobacillales; Enterococcaceae.